AAAAAAUUAAAGGUAAAUCCUGCCCUAUGAUUAUUUAAAUGGCUGCAGUAUUUUGACUGUGCAAAGGUAGCAUAAUAAUUAGUCUUUUAAUUGAAGGCUUGUAUGAAAGGUUAUAUGAAAGAUAUUUUUUAUUUAUUUUAUUUUUUGAAUUUGAUUAUUAAGUAAAAAAGCUUAUUUUUAUAUUUGGGACGAAAAGACCCUAUAGAACUUUAUAUAUUACUUAUUAUUUUUUUUUUGUUGAUUAAUAUUAAUUAUUUUUGUUAAUUUGUUUUGUUGGGGCGGUAGAUAAAUUUUAACUUUAUUUUUUUUUUUCAUUAAUUUAUGUUUUUUUGAUCCAUUUUUGAUUAUAAGAUUUAGUUACCUUAGGGAUAACAGCGUAAUUCUAAUGGGGAGUUCAUAUUUAUAUUGGAGUUUGCGACCUCGAUGUUGAAUUAAGAUAAGAGUGAGGGGAA
This 452-nucleotide ribosomal RNA is filed under the name Dayoungia virescens. RNAcentral describes it as "partial large subunit ribosomal RNA". The record is from RNAcentral. Lineage: Eukaryota; Metazoa; Arthropoda; Insecta; Hemiptera; Cicadellidae.